RNAcentral lists this transfer RNA (68 nucleotides) under Clostridium beijerinckii. RNAcentral's name for it is "tRNA-Ser". Lineage: Bacteria; Bacillati; Bacillota; Clostridia; Eubacteriales; Clostridiaceae. The record is from RNAcentral.
UUUAUUGUAGUGUGUGGAGAUACUGUUGCUGGAAGCAACAAAGAAGAAGUUCUAGCUUAUCAAUUAGA